RNAcentral lists this ribosomal RNA (496 nucleotides) under uncultured bacterium. RNAcentral describes it as "partial 16S ribosomal RNA". It matches the Rfam family "Bacterial small subunit ribosomal RNA", at positions 29 to 507 of the family's 1533-position model. The record is from RNAcentral.
ACGAACGCUGGCGGCGUGCCUAAUACAUGCAAGUAGAACGCUGAAGAGAGGAGCUUGCUCUUCUUGGAUGAGUUGCGAACGGGUGAGUAACGCGUAGGUAACCUGCCUUGUAGCGGGGGAUAACUAUUGGAAACGAUAGCUAAUACCGCAUAACAAUGGAUGACACAUGUCAUUUAUUUGAAAGGGGCAAUUGCUCCACUACAAGAUGGACCUGCGUUGUAUUAGCUAGUAGGUGAGGUAACGGCUCACCUAGGCGACGAUACAUAGCCGACCUGAGAGGGUGAUCGGCCACACUGGGACUGAGACACGGCCCAGACUCCUACGGGAGGCAGCAGUAGGGAAUCUUCGGCAAUGGGGGCAACCCUGACCGAGCAACGCCGCGUGAGUGAAGAAGGUUUUCGGAUCGUAAAGCUCUGUUGUAAGUCAAGAACGAGUGUGAGAGUGGAAAGUUUACACUGUGACGGUAGCUUACCAGAAAGGGACGGCUAACUACGUG